RNAcentral lists this ribosomal RNA (152 nucleotides) under uncultured bacterium. RNAcentral describes it as "partial 16S ribosomal RNA". It matches the Rfam family "Bacterial small subunit ribosomal RNA", at positions 200 to 354 of the family's 1533-position model. The record is from RNAcentral.
GUCAAAGAUUUAUCGCUGGAAGAUGGCCUCGCGUCUGAUUAGCUAGUUGGUGAGGUAACGGCCCACCAAGGCGACGAUCAGUAGCCGGACUGAGAGGUUGGCCGGCCACAUUGGGACUGAGAUACGGCCCAGACUCCUACGGGAGGCAGCAG